UCAUCUCUUCAGACUCCACACUCAUGAAUUAAUAUUACAGAUAAAUGCUCCUAUGUCCGUCUGGUAAGCAAGUGAUAGCUUUUGAGCCUCAGCUUCUACAUAAUACAUCUGGGUUAUUUAUAAAUUGAAUUUGUCACACACAAAUGAUGUUUCAUGAGAAAGAAGAUUCAAUGAUUUGUAAAUCUCUCCUUUCUAUCCCCACAGCCACUGCCCAGACACUUUACUUCAAAUUUGGCUUUAUUUUCAUCAUUGAUAUUGAUUAAAAUGACAUUCACUUGCCCGGAAAGUAAAAGAGGUCUUCAGCACAAAAUAUUGCUCCAACAAGCAAGCAUAAAUCACUGAGAUUGAAAUGUCAUCUAUCUUUAUUGGCCAACCACAUAAUCUCCAUGAAAAUUCUCAACAGAGAGCAAGGAACUCACUUUCUUCUAAGCAAAGACAAUUUGGAUUUGCCUCGUGGCACUGGCAUCUCUUCAUGUCUGGACGUCAGAUGUUAGCUUGGUGCCUUUCUCCCUUAUCAGGGGGACAUUUUGAACCCAGCCGCACCAAUGUUCUCAUGGAUGGUGGCCUUCGAUUCUUCUAGAUUCAAGAUUUGGCUCUUGUACUUUUCCUGCCAGUCCUCUACAAUGUACUGGUGGUAGGGGUCAUUGGAGUGUUCCCGUCUCUUGGAUUUCACAGUGCUCACCAGGAUGGCCACGAUGAUGAAAGAGAACAUUCCAAUCAUCACCAUGAGGUACAGGAUGACAUAGUAGAAGUUCUCAGCAUCAACUUUGGCUUGGAGGGCCUCUUGCUCAGCUGUUGUGUUCUGGCGCCAAUUGUCCAUAUAAGUAAUAAAAAUCCUUCGGAAGACGUCUUCCAGCGUCUGUGUGAAAUUGGAUAAAGUAGACAUGCUUCCCUCCUGCUGCAAUUUAAAUAAUAAAAUAGGCGAACAAGGUUAGGAAAACGGAUCUUUUCUGGAUUUGGCUAUGUAAAGGUGGGAGGGAGAUGCCAGGGUAUAAGUAAUAGUAUUUCUUCUUAACCUGGCUGGUGAUUUAAUGCAUAUUUUGUUAGUCUUUAAACUGACUGCGUACAUUUUAUUCACUUUUUUUACAAUCCAUGAUUGUUACACAGUAAAAAUUUAAAUGGCAGAGAAAAUUAUAUAUAUACACUUUGAUAUUUAUAUAUGCAUGUAAAUAAAUGUAUGUGUACAUAUGAAAAUGGAGAAAAUAUUAGAAGUACAUAGAUCAGAAUGUUAACAGUGGGUGGUGUGCUUAAAGAUAUGUAUUUUCUUCUUUAUGCUUUUCUCAUAUUCCAAAUUUUCAUCAGCAGUCUUGCAUUACUUUUGUUUUUUAAAAAAUUGGUAACCUUACAAGAGCUAGAAUAAUGCCACAUUCAUAACAAGCACUCAACAAACGUCAGUGGAAUGGACCAAUGACUCAUUUAUGUUCUCUGUUUUUAGAGAAUUGUGGGGCAUUAUGAGAUAACAUCAAGAGAAAAGAUUGCAGGGGGCAUUGACAGACUCUCCAAUUUGUUCCAUCCCCUAUGUCUAAGUGGCACAUUGUCCCAAGUAUCCUAAAGGGAGGGGUGUGUACAUCUAUAUUUGAAAGAAGCAUUUUAGGUAAGUGAUGCCAAGAAACAAUCUGAGAGAUUAUUCCUAUGUUUCAAAUCCAUCUCUCCUUUUCAUCACCACUGGCACCGCCCAGCCUCCAGCAUCUCUCACCUGGAUAAUACAAUGCCAACAAUGUAAUACAACACAACCCUCCCCAGAGCCAUCUCUUUGGGGUUAUAUGUGCCCCUCUCUGCCUUGAAUAGCCAUCAAUGUGCCCUUUUUUUUUUCUUAAGACGGAAUCUUGCUCUGUCGUCCAGGCUGGAGUGGGGUGGCACGAUCUCUGCUCACUGAAACCUCCGCCUCCCCAGUUCAAGCAAUUCUCAUGCCUCAGCCUCCCAAGUAGCUGGGAUUACAGGCACAUGUCACCACGCCUGGCUAACUUUUGUAUUUUUGGUAGAGACGGGGUUUCAACACAUUGGCCAGGCUGGUCUCGAACUCCUGACUUCAGGUGAUCCACCCGCCUCAGCCUCCCAAAGUGCUGGGAUUACAUGUGUCAGCCACCGUGCACAGCCAAUGUGCCUUUUUGAAGAGGGAAAUUAUAGUGCAAUUUGUUUGCUUUUAAAAUGAUGCGAUGGUUGUUCUUAAAAUCAAGUCCUAAUUCCUUAACAGUAUUUACCCCAUUGGCUGAGCAGGCUCCUGACCACCUCCUCAGUUACCCUUUGCUCACUACAGUUCGGUCACACCUGACAUCUUCCCUCCCUGUCAGUAAGCUCUCUUUCCUCGGGACAUUAUCACAUCCUAUUCUCUCAACCUAGAAUGCCUUUGCCUUUCUCUUCCACCUGCUACCUCCUCGUUCUUUAGGUUCCAGCUAGUUGUCACUUCUGAGACUUCCCUGGUUCUACUCUAAAUCACUUCCCACCACCACCACCAUUUUCCUCCAACAGCAUCUCCUUUUUCUUCAAAAGCACACAUCACAUAUGCAGUCACUAAAUGUGUGUGUAUAUAUUCAUAUUACUUUUGUUUAAAAAAAAUUGGUAACCUCACACCAGCUAGAAUAAUGCCAUAUUUAUAACAAGCACUCAACAAAUGUCAGUUAAAUGGAGCAAUGACUCAUUUAUAUUCUGUUUUCAGAGAAUUAUAUACGUGUGCUUUUUUAUACAUCUCUGUUUUUAGAGAAUUGUGGGGCUUUAGACAUAACAUCAAGGCAAACGAUUGCAAGGCAAAAAUUUUUUGUUUUUUUGAGACGGAGUCUCGCUCUGUCACCCAGGCUGGAGUGCAGUGGCGCGAUCUUGGCUCACUGCAACCUCUGCCUCCCAGGUUCAAGUGAUUCUCCUGUCUCAGCCUCCCAAGUAGCUGGGACUACAGGCAACCGCCACUACGCCUGGCUAAUGUUUUGUAUUUUUAGUAGAGACGGGGUUUCGCCAUGUUAGCCAGGAUGGUCUCGAUCUCGUGACCUCGUGAUCCACCUGCCUCGGCCUCCCAAAGUGCUGAGAUUACAGGUGUGAGCCACCGCUCCCGGCCAAGAUUUUUUAAUACAUACAUACAUACAUAUAUAUAACAUACAUAUAUAUAACAUACAUAUAUAUAUAUAUAUAUAUAUAUAUAUAUAUUGUGUGUGUGUGUGUGUGUGUGUGUGUGUGUGAUUAUUGGUUUAGGGGCUCAUCUUUUCCACUCGGCUGUCAUGUCUGCCAACUUUGUCUAGCUCGGUAUAGCAGAUGUCUAACACAUAGAAGGCACUCAAUGGACAUUUGAUGCAUGAAUUAAAGUGCCAGGUACUAUGCUAGGCGAUGAAACUGCAGAGGUGACAGGAACUCUGUGAGAGGCUCAGUUGAAUGGGAGAGACCAAAUCAAUGACAAUGCAACGUGCAAAGAGUUGCAACAGGUAUGGACAAAAAGAUAAGGGGGCUCAGAAAAUGGAGCUGAACACGGUUCAUAGAUGGGGCAAGUGGGUUUCAACACAGCUAGAAGGAGCACAGGCAGGAGGUAAACCUGUGACUAGCCACUAGUAAAAGCCCCAGGAUCCCAGCAGUGGGUUUGCCUGCUGCCGUUCUAAAGACAUGCCCGUCUCUUUAGCAUGUGACUUUUCUUUCCUUCAUGAAAAGAGAAUCAGAUCUCCCCAUCUGGGAAAGGAAUUUCAAUCAGCUGAAUAAUCAAACCUACUAAACAAAUAAACUUGCAGGCAUUCUCCCACAGAACAUCCCUCCCCAGGAUUUUCCUCAUUGAGAAUUACCAUCACCAAGAUAAUAUACUCUUCUCUGUCUGAUGUUUUAAGUUCUAUUAUUUAGAGAGCUCUAAGAUCUUUGUCUCCCUCUCCUGGCCACACAGGCUAGUGGGUUGGAAGGAAACUUAACAAAUAGAUAAGAUUGCCCCAGGGUAUAUACCAAGCAUAUUUCCUAAGCAAUGUAACAGAGAUGUGCUUUUUCCCCUUUAAAAUGAUAUAGUCUGCUGUGAAAGUUAGCUGAGCUGGCUUUAAUCCACUCAAGACUUUGCCACUGGCUCUUUUACCCUUUUAUUUUCAUUUUAUUUUUUAUUAACUCUUUUUUAAAAUAAAAAAGUAGUGAUGAGGUCUCACUAUGUUGUUAAACUCCUAGGCUCAAGUGAUCCCCCUGCUUCAGCCUCCCAAGGUGCUGGGAUUACAGGUUUGAGCCACCAUGCCAGACUUUUUUUUUUUUUUUUUUUUGAGAUGGGGUCUGGCUCUGUGAGUAUAGUCUUUUUCUCUUGUAGGAAGCCCAGCCGGUUGUUACCAAUCCAUAGUACUUUCCCUGACCUCCCCAGGUCUAGGCAGAGACCCUUUUUCUGCCCCUUCUGCAAAUGACCAUGUUAGUUUUGUUUUUUUCCUUUUUUUUUUUUUUUUUUUUUUUUUUUGAGAUGGAGUCUCUUUUGCCCAGGCUGGAGUGCAGUGGCGCGAUCUCGGCUUACUGCAAGCUCUGCCUCCCGGGUUUACGCCAUUCUCCUGCCUCAGCCUCCUGAGUAGCUGGGUCUACAGGCACCCGCCACGAAGCCCGGCUAAUUUUUUGUAUUUUUAGUACAGACGGGGUUUCACCAUGUUAGCCAGGAUGGUCUCGAUCUCCUGACCUCGUGAUCCGCCCACCUUGGCCUCCCAAAGUGCUGGGAUUACAGGCGUGAGCCACCGUGCCCGGCCUUGUUUUCGUUUUUGAAUUACCCAUGUAUUGUGUGCUUAUUCAUGUGAUCCUCAAAACCACUCUAUAAACUCCUACCUUCAGGAUGUUUAGUGAGAUUCAGUAACUGAGUCCCGAUGACAGGAGAGCUUGAGCCCCCGGAAGGCAGGGAUUGCUUUACUCAUCUCUGAAUCCCGGGACCCUACACAGCGAUGGAACUUGAGCUCCAUGACAACAGGGACCUUACCUGUAUUGCCCAUUCUGUGUCUGGCUGGAAAAAAGCUCUCACUGUAUCCCAAAAGAAUGGUGAUAAUUCUAGAUUCUGGCUGUGAUGAAAUCAACCACCUCAUCUAUUUACAAGGUACUAAGAUUAUCAUUCCGAUGAAAAAGACUCUGGAAAAGAAAGUUUUCACCUUUUCAAAACCAUUAACAAUACAUGACGUUUCUAAUUGAGCUCACAGAGUAGGAAGCUUUCCUUGAUGCUAUUAAUGUGAGCACAAUGGUUUUGUGAAAAGCUGGAAAUGGGGGCAUUGAGAAUCUCUGGUAAUUUCAUUUAGCUAUGCACUGAGCUUCUACUUUCUCUGUGCCUGGUUCAGAAUAUUAGAAGAGAUGGCAAUGAUUCUGGAGUGGAUUACACCAUUUGACUGAGGAACUACUGGAAUUUUCUUCUUCUCUAAGAUACACACAAGCAUGACGACUUCCAAUGAACAGGCCUCACCAAGAACUCUCCAAACAUGUAGGGUUUCUUUAGUUUAUCAAUGAAACAAGCAACUUGGUAGGAUGCUUCUGAAAUGCCGCUGCUGUGAUAGAGCAAACCAAGUUUUGAUAAAGUUGAUUCUCUUCUGAUGGAGCCUUCCCCCAAGGUGCUUUCCCAGCCUUGCUGGCUUCAUGCUUCUGGGAUUGAGAAGCUUGUCACCAUCAUCAACAGGCCUAGUUUGCAACGGAAAGCCAGAGAACGUCUCAGCUUCCUUGUGUUCUGUUUGCCCUGACAUUACUGAACUUUAGCAAGACCCAAAGUUAACAAAGACCCCUGUCACAGGCCGAAUGGCAGGGUAUGUUCUUUGAUUUCUGUUAGUGGAAAAUGAAUGUAACACAGAGAUCACAUGGGCUGUGAGGCCCCCCUGUAGCCUCCAGCACCCUUUCUUCCUGGAGCAUGAAUCUGGACGGAAAUGGUGCCGUAUUAGGUUUGUUUUACAAAGAUGAUUUUCAAAGAGGAAGAGGAUCAAAAGAAACAGAAAAGAACCCCCAGCGUGCAGGCCACAGGUGUGUGGGGGUUAAAACUGGAUGGGAAGGAGAGGGGGAAGUCCUGGAACUCAAGGAGGCACAACCGUGGGGGCUUCAUUUUCCCCAGGAACUAUAAAAGGCCAAUGGGCUCUUGUAGGAAAAAAGCAGAUCAGCACAGAUGGGAGCAGAGAAAGGGCUCUCACAGCAAAUUUUGCCGGCUUUCCAGUUUUUCCAUAGAUCAGACCACUUUUUGGCCUUUGCUUAGAACCAUCAAGCUUCCUCCUUAGGCAUCCAGCACAGCUCUUUCCAUAUAUGUGGCGGUUUUUUGUUUUGUUUUAAUAAAGAAAAAUGUUUAUAAGCAUUGUACACAUUGCAUACUGGAAAUCUGCCAAGAGAGUAGGUUUUAGGUGCUCUUACCACACAUACCCCCCCCCAAAACACACACGAACAUGGACAUGUUAAUGGUUGGUGUAAUAUGUUAACGGUAUGUUAAUUUGCUUGUCUGUGGUAAUCACUCCACAUAUGUACGUCAGAACAUCUUGUUGCAUAUCUUAAAUACAGACAAUAAAAAAAGAAAAUCUUGGCUGGGCGUGGUGGCUUUUGCCUGUAAUCCCAGCAUUUUGGGAGGCCAAGGAGGGAGGAUCACAUGCCAGGAGUUCGAGACCAGACUGGGUUAACAUAGUGAGAUCCCAUCUCUACAAAAAAAAAUUUUAAAAAGAAAAUCUUUGAAAAGUUAAAAGAGAAAUAUUGAAGAACAGUG
RNAcentral lists this long non-coding RNA (6628 nucleotides) under Homo sapiens (human). Its description in RNAcentral is "HSALNT0403921". Lineage: Eukaryota; Metazoa; Chordata; Mammalia; Primates; Hominidae. The record is from RNAcentral.